GCCUGGGUGGCUCAGUCAGUUGAGCGUCCAACUUUGGCUCGGGUCAUGAUCUCACAGCUCGUGGGUUUGAGUCCCGCGUCAGGCU
This 85-nucleotide transfer RNA is filed under the name Felis catus (domestic cat). It matches the Rfam family "tRNA". From Rfam's summary of the family: Transfer RNA (tRNA) molecules are approximately 80 nucleotides in length. Their secondary structure includes four short double-helical elements and three loops (D, anti-codon, and T loops). The record is from Rfam by way of RNAcentral. Lineage: Eukaryota; Metazoa; Chordata; Mammalia; Carnivora; Felidae. RNAcentral also lists the same sequence under 2 other names.